GGCGGCGUGCCUAACACAUGCAAGUCGAACGGACUGAUCCCUUCGGGAUGAAAGUAGUGGCGGACGGGUGAGUAACGCGUGAGCAACCUGCCUUUCAGAGGGGAAUAACGUUUGGAAACAGACGCUAAUACCGCAUAACGCAUAGGUGUCGCAUGGCAUUUAUGCCAAAGGAGCAAUCCGCUGAAAGAUGGGCUCGCGUCCGAUUAGAUAGUUGGUGGGGUAACGGCCUACCAAGUCGACGAUCGGUAGCCGGACUGAGAGGUUGAACGGCCACAUUGGGACUGAGACACGGCCCAGACUCCUACGGGAGGCAGCAGUGGGGGAUAUUGCACAAUGGGCGGAAGCCUGAUGCAGCAACGCCGCGUGAGGGAAGACGGUUUUCGGAUUGUAAACCUCUGUCUUUGGUGACGAAGAAAUGACGGUAGCCGAGGAGGAAGCCACGGCUAACUACGUGCCAGCCGCCGC
This 465-nucleotide ribosomal RNA is filed under the name uncultured bacterium. RNAcentral describes it as "bacterial SSU rRNA". It matches the Rfam family "Bacterial small subunit ribosomal RNA", at positions 38 to 518 of the family's 1533-position model. The record is from RNAcentral.